UCCAAGUACACAAACUUCAGCUGCAGCAAAGAACCCAUGGAGCUAACGCAAGCCUGGAAAACAGCAGAAAUGAAAAACAGACACCUGCGUAAGGACGGGAUAUUCUGCUUGCUACCAGCUGCUUCACAAGCUUCUUCCAGAGUUCCUCAGAUGAAUCCUGAAGCAGUGACUGAAGUUCUGCAUGCUGAUAAAAUGAUCAACACCUGCUGGUCUGAAGGGCUCAGCAAGAAACUGACUCAUGGAAGAAUGCACUUUCCAUAUUCUAAUGACUUCAUCCCCCUUACCCUGACCAAACGAUAACCCCAAUUUUCUAACCCCUUGCCCUCUCCAAUCCCCUGAAAGAUCCUUGCCCAGAACCCCUCAAUGAAAUGAAUUUGAGUCUCGAGAAUUCCUCCUGUUUCCUCAUUCAGUCAUCUUGCAAUUAUUAAACAACUUGUCUGCUGCA
RNAcentral lists this long non-coding RNA (445 nucleotides) under Homo sapiens (human). RNAcentral's name for it is "HSALNT0088613". Lineage: Eukaryota; Metazoa; Chordata; Mammalia; Primates; Hominidae. The record is from RNAcentral.